GCUGGGCACAGUGGUGUAUGCCUGUAAUCCCAGUAGCUCAGGAGGCUGAGGCAGGAGGAUUGUGAAUUCAGAGCUAACCUCAG
Molecule: small RNA, 83 nt
Filed under: Marmota monax (woodchuck)
Lineage: Eukaryota; Metazoa; Chordata; Mammalia; Rodentia; Sciuridae
Source: RNAcentral